AUGGCAGCCGUUGAUUUGCUCGUGAGUUGUACUGUUGGUGGCGUCACCUACAGGAGGGGAGCUAGCAAGGAGACACCUACUCAACAGCAAAAACCAGCAGAGUCCGUCUCGACUCCUCCUGAGUGCCAAGAGAGGAGCACUCAAGCUGAGGCCAAGACCACAUCGCCAUCACCUGCUGCAAGCCCAAAGCCUACAGAGGUCCUGAAGCCAGGAUCCAAACAGUCGGGAGAAAACAUUGAGGAAAGCAGAGCGUGUAAAGCCCAUUCGGAUGACAUAGCAACUCGUGCUUCUUUCCAAACUUCUCAACAUGAGUCAUUGACGUUAUCUCCUCGUAGCGAGACUGUACUCAAUUCGUCAGUCACGACGCAUACCGAUCCCUACAGUGAAGGGUUGGCCAUUCCACAUGAUGAUAUAGGAACUUUGCCCAUGGGCGAGUUUUCUGAUAUAGAAGCUCUUUUAGAUGGAGGGACAAACCCUGAAACCGGCCUCAGUCUGGACUCACCUACUUUCUCAAAUGCUACUCAGGAGGACCAU
Molecule: long non-coding RNA, 534 nt
Filed under: Oryza sativa tropical japonica subgroup
Lineage: Eukaryota; Viridiplantae; Streptophyta; Magnoliopsida; Poales; Poaceae
Description: lncRNA OsKeNa_01g0016720
Source: RNAcentral